UCCCUGGUGGCUCAGUUGGUAAAGAAUCUGCCUGCAAUGUAGGAGACCUGGGUUCGAUCCCUGGGUUGGGAA
This 72-nucleotide transfer RNA is filed under the name Bos taurus (domestic cattle). It matches the Rfam family "tRNA". From Rfam's summary of the family: Transfer RNA (tRNA) molecules are approximately 80 nucleotides in length. Lineage: Eukaryota; Metazoa; Chordata; Mammalia; Artiodactyla; Bovidae. The record is from Rfam by way of RNAcentral. RNAcentral also lists the same sequence under 6 other names.